Molecule: ribosomal RNA, 541 nt
Filed under: Cryptosporidium fayeri
Lineage: Eukaryota; Apicomplexa; Conoidasida; Eucoccidiorida; Cryptosporidiidae
Description: SSU rRNA
Rfam family: Eukaryotic small subunit ribosomal RNA
Source: RNAcentral
GUAUUGGCCUACCGUGGCAAUGACGGGUAACGGGGAAUUAGGGUUCGAUUCCGGAGAGGGAGCCUGAGAAACGGCUACCACAUCUAAGGAAGGCAGCAGGCGCGCAAAUUACCCAAUCCUAAUACAGGGAGGUAGUGACAAGAAAUAACAAUACAGGACUUUUUGGUUUUGUAAUUGGAAUGAGUUAAGUAUAAACCCCUUUACAAGUAUCAAUUGGAGGGCAAGUCUGGUGCCAGCAGCCGCGGUAAUUCCAGCUCCAAUAGCGUAUAUUAAAGUUGUUGCAGUUAAAAAGCUCGUAGUUGAAUUUCUGUUAAUAAUUUAUAUAUUAUACUUUUUAAGGUGUUUAUAUAAUAUUAACAUAAUUCAUAUUACUAUAUUUUUUUAGUAUAUGAAAUUUUACUUUGAGAAAAUUAGAGUGCUUAAAGCAGGCGUUAGCCUUGAAUACUCCAGCAUGGAAUAAUAUUAAAGAUUUUUAUCUUUCUUAUUGGUUCUAAGAUAAGAAUAAUGAUUAAUAGGGACAGUUGGGGGCAUUUGUAUUUAA